GAACCAGAACCCGGACCACAGGAGCCAAACAGCAGCCUCGUGCUCUGAUAGCACCGAUGUUCAGGCCCCCCUACAGCAACACAACUCAGCUCUUCAUGAGUUCGUAGAAUAGUGUGAUAAUUCCUGCCUGGAAUUUAAUGUGAACAAGACUAAGAAGAUGACCUUUUCCAACAAGCAGAAGAAACUGGCUGUCGCAGGCAUCACCACCAUCCAUGGGAAACCUGUAGACAUUGUUGACGAGUAUAAGUACCUGGACACAAAACAAAUCACCUUCUGGCAACGCGGUACAACCCCAUUACUUGGAUUAAUUAAAGUAUUAUUAUUAUUACUGUCUUGGAAAUGGUACUCCCUUACAUUACUAGUUACUAGGAUAAAUUAAUAAUACAGUAAUGCGUUACUGCCAACACCAUUGCCUAACUGUUGCUUAAAUUGUAGAUGUUAUGCAGCAGAUCCGUCACUGCUCAGCCAACACCCAGAUGUUCACAAUGUCUUCUCACUACACCUCCGGAUUAUACACCGGUCACUGAUUACUCUUCUUGUCCCCAGCGACCACUUCACCUCCCGUUUGUACCACCAGCAUCCCCUGCAGUCUAAAUAAAUCAUGAUGGUCUGUAGGGCUGAACGAUUAA
This is a long non-coding RNA of Micropterus salmoides (largemouth bass), 629 nucleotides long. RefSeq lists it as uncharacterized. Lineage: Eukaryota; Metazoa; Chordata; Actinopteri; Centrarchiformes; Centrarchidae. The transcript is spliced from 2 exons. The record is from RefSeq and is a predicted model, not a curated record.